This 3950-nucleotide long non-coding RNA is filed under the name Sorghum bicolor (sorghum). RNAcentral describes it as "long non-coding RNA (SBIC_LNC011886)". Lineage: Eukaryota; Viridiplantae; Streptophyta; Magnoliopsida; Poales; Poaceae. The record is from RNAcentral.
GCCGGCCUCUCCUCUAAUCCUCCUUCGCUCUCCAUCUUGCUACUAUCUAGAUCUACUCAAGUUUAGAGAAGAGAGGAGAGCUCUCAUCUCUAAACCCUAGCUUUUGCUCUGUCUAUGAAUAAUGAAUAAUGAUCGAGGGGUGCCUCCUCCAGGGGCCAGGGGGUCUGGUUAUAUAGUCCCCUCAAGUGAACCUGGGUCGUCGGAUCAAACCGACAUUGAUUGAAUGGUUAUUGUUGAACCUUUAGGUCGGUGGAGCAUAAUCCGUGAGAUUGAGCGUGAUUGGCCACAGGAGGUGGUCGGGCGCCCAGUAGGACAGGGCGGGCGCCCUGUCUCUGGCCCCGUUUCGCCUCCGCUUCGGUCUCGUGGCUUCUGGAGUCUUCUAGAUGUAAGAUAAUUGCGCGGCACGUUAAUAUCUUUACGUAAUCCCGACGUUUGGGCCUUUCUUCCUUAUUUCCUGAUAACCCCCUGCAGAAAUAGACAAACACCAAAACUCGUGGAAUUCUGUCAGAUAAAACCCUAAGUCUAGAUGUUGAUUUCAUUUGGAUCCUUUUCUUUAUUUAUUUGAUAGUUAAAUUUGAUACUUAAGGACCGUCAACAAACUCCCCCAAGCUUACCUCUUGCUCGUCCCUGAGCAAAGAUAGACUCAGCUAUGGAUCAGAAGUAGUUGCAAUAUCUUUAAAAAUUUGACGGUACACAUGCUUUUAAAUAAGAUCUCAUCUCUGAGUUAGAGUAAACUGUCAAGACUUAAAACUUACUUACUUUACCUUCACCAUGGGACUUGUAACCGUCACUUCUGUCUUGAGUGGUUAAAAGAUAGAACAGUCCCAUCAAGUGCCAUGUCUCUUAUUCUUGAUCAGCUAUAGCUCUGGAGUAUUUGCAGAUUUUCAAAUAAAACUUAGAGAUUCCUUUGUAUGACUCUCUCAUAUCUCUCUUUUGUGGUAUUUCUGGAUCCUUACCAAGGCAGUGAUGGUAUAUGCCUUCUCUCAAAAUAUGUGGUAUUUGUGGUAUAAGGCAUAGUGACAUUGCCUUUUCUCUCACCCUACUCUAAUAAGGCUUUAAUAUCUGGAGCUCAUAGGUGGGAGAUAAAAUAUACAUACUUACAAGACAUGUAUUGCAUAGUCAAACCAUGGAUCCAAAGAAACAAAUCAAUAAGCCAAAUCAAGAUGUGCAUGUGUGGCGAAUGAAUGGUGAUGAUGGUGAUAACAAUGGUGAAAACAAUGGUGGUGGAAGUCUAAUUCUACUUUGCUCUUUGAGGGGAUACAUACCUUCCUUGCUUUUUUGAAACUUUAUGAGGAGAAUGAGAUGCUCUUUCUUUUUCUUUUCUCUCAGGUGGGUAUCUUGUACCCCUAAUUCUACUGUCGGACACUUGUCCAUUUUUACCUCUCGUCUCACUCUUUUUCUUUUCUUUCGAGGUUCCGGGCACUUGCCCCUUUUUAUUUCCUCGUUUUAUUAUUUUUUUUCUUUUCUUUUUUUUUCUUCUUUUUUUUCAGAGAUCUCAUCUCUUAAGAUAAUGUAGCAAGUGGUAGUAGCAAGAUAACUUGAGCAUUUAUUUCACAAGGGAAAAACACAGAUGUUUUUGGCUAUUCUCUCCCGAAUUAGGAGUAGAAUAUUUUUAGGUGAUUUUGGAGAUGGAAAUGGAUGGAUAUAUGUGGAUGGUACUUCCGGAGUAGAAGUAGCAUAUAUAUGAGUGAACGUGCAAGUGAAUCUUGAUUUAACCACAUGACAAGCUCCUAAGGGUCUACACAGCUUGACCACACUCAAUGCUCAUAAGCAGUUAAUAAUAAAUGUGUGGCUCAAAGUCUAGCAAACAUGUAUAUAUGGCUGUGGUAGGAAUUUAAACUUUCAUCAUACAGGAACUCAUCAUGCAACAUUUUAAAGAUUUUUCAAAGAUAAAAUUCUCCAGAAUUCUAGCAUCUCUAGGAAUAGAUAAACAGCAGCUCAACCUUCCCAUAUCAUAUCCGUUAACAACUUAGAUUUCAGAUCAAGUUUUCAUCCCACAAGUUUAGAUCUAGAGCAAGCUUUAAAUUAUAACAGUUAUGUCUAAACUUGAGAGAGAACUUCAAAUUUGCAAAUUAGGCAGAGCAACUAUUCAUCAUAUCCAUGCUAGAGUUUUAUUAUUAAGAUUCAUAGCAAACAUUAUUUAUUUAUUUAUUUAUUUAUUUAUUUAUUUAUUUAUUUAGCAAACUAAGGAAGGAUAUAUAUAUAUAUAAGCAUAAAAUCUUUAUUUGGUUUUUCAUAGUUUAUGUAUUUUAAUAUUCUAAUAUAAUAUAAGUAUAAAGAUAGGUAGAAAUACUUAGCGAGCUAAAUAGGGGUGCUCUCCCCCAAGCUGAAUUUUGACGUAAUUUCUCUUGAUGUAGCUAGCAGGUGGCAGAGGUGUAUUUGAAAGUCAGCAGCAUUCUGACAGCGAUUAGAAUGUCCUCCAUCUGCUAGUCUUCUUGAUUCUUAAAUUCUGUGGAGCUCAAAUAGACAACAAAGCUUGUGGAACUAAUUAAGUGUUAGCAUAAAUAUCUAGCCUUCAUCACGUUGAGCUUUCUCAAUAAAUAUUACUCCCUGUUUUUAUAUUUUUAUUUUAUAAAGUAGAAAAGAAAUAUUUAUUUUAUUUUUAUGCCACCACAGUGAAGGUACUUAUGGGUUUUAUGCCACUUGUAUACUCACGUGGGGCUUAGUAUUUUUUUUAACAUUUUUAUUUUCUUUUCAAGAUAGCAUGAUUAACUAAUAAUCUAUUUAAGGAAAUUAAAUAAUUAAAUGGAAAAGGGAAUGCAGAAAGGACAAAUAUAGACAACUACCAAUCUUACCUUUCGGCGAGGGUUCAAUGUUUUAAGUCUUCUUGACAAGACUUCUCACCGUGUUCAUUCUUCAGGUGCGUCAUUUGAUUCAGGUGCGGACCUUGACGUCUGCACCUUUUAAUACGGUGUCACCCACGUUCUUCGUUUGCCCAGCGGUUCGAAGUGCGGUGUUAGCAGUAUCUUGCUCAGUGUGUUUGUGCUCGUAGUGUACCUGCUCAUAGAGACAAGGCAGAGAUCAAGUGCAUGGGCCCUGUUGGUGGAAAACACCAACAGAACCAAAAGUGUAUUUGUUCUUCUCUAACCUUAAGCAUAGUGAGCAAGACAAAGUUGAUGGAUGAUAAGUUUAUGAGUGUAGCACUUAUAACAUUUGUCAGAUCAGAUCGCUCAACCUUAUGGAAAGAUAAUCUAUCUAUGUAUAUGUCUUUUUCUUUAUAUCUCUCAAUGAUUGAAUGUGAAACAUUUUAGCUCAUAUGAUUAGGAGUGUGGGAUCAUGGAGGUAGUACUAAGAACAAGGAUUAAAGGACUACACAUGCUGAAUCAGUUGAGUUGGUUAAUUUAGAGUUAUAAAUCAUACAUGUUUGUCUCUUUAUUUAUGUGAACGCCAGAACCAAGGAGAAGCUUAUAAAAGUGAUAGUCAGAUAUCUUAAGAUGUUACCUUCCUCGAAGAGUGAUGGUACAGUAUCAUCUUGUGGAAGCUUUCCUUUCUUAGCGGUUGUGCGUCGUGUUUGUGGCACCCUCCAUGGAUCAUCUCUCUAUGAUGAAUGAGCUAUGUCCUUCUUGUGCAAAUUGUUAAACUUCAUGUGUCACUCUCUUCGUCUCUGAUGUGAAUUUAUCUCAGGACUUCCAAAUCGAUAUUGAAAGUUUUUCUGCAGGGGUUAGUCCGACAAAAUAUACCAAUAUCUACUCAAGCAGUUUUUUUAGUUCAAUAACCAAACUAGACUCCAUGUUUAAUCAGAUUAAGGAAGGCUAUUUAACCUAAGCACCAUGCUUAAUUUAAAUGCCAAUGGAAGUAUGGCGAGUACUUCCAAACCAACACUUGCUAGUAAAUAGACAAAGGUAGCAUGACAGCAUUUAUAGAGAUUUACUCAAGUGGAGAUGAAGUAGUGUGAUUAGUAUUUAACAAAUUGAGCAUGUCUCAAAGGUAGGGACAACCAGCAUAGCAAC